UGUGUGCACCAUGACCUGGACUCCUGUCCUCCUCGUGCUCCUCUCUCACUGCACAGGUUCCCUCUCCCAGCCUGUGCUGACUCAGCCGCCCUCCCUCUCUGCAUCUCCGGGAACAUCAGCCAGACUCACCUGCACCCUGAACAGGGACAUCAGUGUUGGUGGUAAAAACAUGUACUUGUACCAACCGAAUCCAGGGGGCUCUUCCCGCUUAUUCCAGUACUACAGUAACUCAGACUCAGACAAGGACCUGGGCUCUGGGUUCCCUAGCCGCUUCUCAGGAUCCAAUGACACCUCAGCCAAUCCAGGGCUUUUGCUCAUGUCUGGGCUGCAGCCUGAGGACGAGGCUGACUAUUACUGUGCCAUCUGGUACAAUAGUCCUUUGCACAGUGUGACACACAUGGACGGGGAAUGGGACGAAAAUCCUCAUAUCCAUACAUUGCAAGCUUCUGACACAUUUAUGGAGGCAGUUAAUAGUAUCACUGAUAUAAGAGAACAUCAGCCCUGA
Non-coding RNA from Rhinolophus ferrumequinum (greater horseshoe bat), 505 nucleotides. NCBI's taxonomy places the organism in Eukaryota, Metazoa, Chordata, Mammalia, Chiroptera, Rhinolophidae. The record is from the annotation of a RefSeq genome assembly.